CCUACGGGUAGCAGCAGUGGGGAAUAUUGGACAAUGGGCGCAAGCCUGAUCCAGCCAUGCCGCGUGGGUGAUGAAGGCCCUAGGGUUGUAAAGCCCUUUCGGCGGGGAAGCGGUACCCGCAGAAGAAGCCCCGGCUAACUUCGUGCCAGCAGCCGCGGUAAUACGAAGGGGGCUAGCGUUGCUCGGAAUCACUGGGCGUAAAGCGCACGUAGGCGGACUUUUAAGUCGGAGGUGAAAUCCUGGAGCUCAACUCCAGAACUGCCUUCGAUACUGAGAGUCUUGAGUUCGGGAGAGGUGAGUGGAACUGCGAGUGUAGAGGUGAAAUUCGUAGAUAUUCGCAAGAACACCAGUGGCGAAGGCGGCUCACUGGCCCGUCUGACGCUGAGGUGCGAAAGCGUGGGGAGCAAACAGGAUUAAUACCCUUGUAGUC
Molecule: ribosomal RNA, 430 nt
Filed under: uncultured bacterium
Lineage: Bacteria
Description: partial 16S ribosomal RNA
Rfam family: Bacterial small subunit ribosomal RNA
Source: RNAcentral